Long non-coding RNA from Cebus imitator (Panamanian white-faced capuchin), 603 nucleotides. RefSeq lists it as uncharacterized. The record is from RefSeq and is a predicted model, not a curated record. The transcript has 3 exons. Lineage: Eukaryota; Metazoa; Chordata; Mammalia; Primates; Cebidae.
UGCUCUGUGCAGGCCCGAGAACACGUGCGCUCAGAAUGGAGGUUCACAGAAAAGGGAGGGAACCUCAACUGCAUCCCACAAGCCAUCCAGCUUCUCCAAGCCUGCUUUCCUCCAAUAUAAGGCGUGCUAAAAAUCUCUUACUCCAAAGGCUUGCAGACCAGAUGAAUAAUAAAUGUGAAGCCCAGCAGGAGCAAGAGGAGGUGAUCAAUAUCAAUAGAGACCAGCUGGGUGAAGUCAACAGAACCGUGCCUGUCGCUGGUAGACACACCAUAAGCAACAGCUCUUCUGCAGGCCUCCACCGCCCACCUCUGCCGGCAACACACGGUUUAUCCCGAAACCCAGCAUUCAAUGCAGAUGGAUGAGAUGCAUCAAGGCUUUACGGUAGGUGUGUGCCACCAUGCUGGUCACCCAGCACGCUGCCCCUCCCCGCAGUCAGCCACGAAGCGGAAGGAGAUGAAGCAUACCCACACUGGUCCAGAGUCUGGGCAGACAAAAAGUGGCCCGACUCUUGGGAGCCCACCCACCCGGUCAAUGGAAGGCACCAAGGAGCUGGAGGGUUCACCACACCUCCCCUCCUGUUGCUGCUCUUCCUGAUCUGCCUGG